CGGAGUGUAGCGCAGAGGUAGCGCGUCUGCUUUGGGAGCAGAAUGUCGGGAGUUCGAUCCUCCCCACUCCGACCA
RNAcentral lists this transfer RNA (75 nucleotides) under Pseudomonas phage ZC03. RNAcentral describes it as "tRNA-Pro". It matches the Rfam family "tRNA". Rfam says of the family: Transfer RNA (tRNA) molecules are approximately 80 nucleotides in length. Their secondary structure includes four short double-helical elements and three loops (D, anti-codon, and T loops). Further hydrogen bonds mediate the characteristic L-shaped molecular structure. tRNAs have two regions of fundamental functional importance: the anti-codon, which is responsible for specific mRNA codon recognition, and the 3' end, to which the tRNAs corresponding amino acid is attached (by aminoacyl-tRNA synthetases). tRNAs cope with the degeneracy of the genetic code in two manners: having more than one tRNA (with a specific anti-codon) for a particular amino acid; and 'wobble' base-pairing, i.e. permitting non-standard base-pairing at the 3rd anti-codon position. RNAcentral also lists the same sequence under 1 other name. Lineage: Duplodnaviria; Heunggongvirae; Uroviricota; Caudoviricetes; Schitoviridae. The record is from RNAcentral.